UGCAUGGUGGUUUAGUGGUUAGCAUGUUCGUCUCACACCUCCAGGGUUGGGGGCUCGAUUCCUUCCUCUGCCC
Molecule: non-coding RNA, 73 nt
Organism: Ameiurus melas (black bullhead)
Lineage: Eukaryota; Metazoa; Chordata; Actinopteri; Siluriformes; Ictaluridae
Source: the annotation of a GenBank genome assembly